Molecule: small RNA, 22 nt
Filed under: Arabidopsis thaliana (thale cress)
Lineage: Eukaryota; Viridiplantae; Streptophyta; Magnoliopsida; Brassicales; Brassicaceae
Description: Ath_wt_00506
Source: RNAcentral
CAAUGUAGGCAAGGGAAGUCGG